This 370-nucleotide ribosomal RNA is filed under the name uncultured organism. RNAcentral describes it as "bacterial SSU rRNA". It matches the Rfam family "Bacterial small subunit ribosomal RNA", at positions 526 to 896 of the family's 1533-position model. The record is from RNAcentral.
CGUAGGGUGCAAGCGUUAAUCGGAAUUACUGGGCGUAAAGCGUGCGCAGGCGGUUUUGUAAGUCUGUCGUGAAAUCCCCGGGCUCAACCUGGGAAUGGCGAUGGAGACUGCAAGGCUAGAAUCUGGCAGAGGGGGGUAGAAUUCCACGUGUAGCAGUGAAAUGCGUAGAGAUGUGGAGGAACACCGAUGGCGAAGGCAGCCCCCUGGGUCAAGAUUGACGCUCAUGCACGAAAGCGUGGGGAGCAAACAGGAUUAGAUACCCUGGUAGUCCACGCCCUAAACGAUGUCUACUAGUUGUCGGGUUUUAAUUAACUUGGUAACGCAGCUAACGCGUGAAGUAGACCGCCUGGGGAGUACGGUCGCAAGAUUA